RNAcentral lists this ribosomal RNA (557 nucleotides) under uncultured Pseudomonadota bacterium. RNAcentral describes it as "bacterial SSU rRNA". It matches the Rfam family "Bacterial small subunit ribosomal RNA", at positions 97 to 630 of the family's 1533-position model. Lineage: Bacteria; Pseudomonadati; Pseudomonadota. The record is from RNAcentral.
GGCGAACGGGUGAGUAACGGGUGGAAAACCUGCCCUUCAAUGGGGGAUAACAGUUCUAACGAGCUGCUAAUACCGCAUACGACCCCUGGACCGCAUGGUCCGAGGGUGAAAGGUGGCCUCUCUUUGAAGCUGCCGUUGAAGAAUGGUUCCGCCUCCCAUUAGCUUGUUGGUGGGGUAAUGGCCUACCAAGGCGACGAUGGGUAGCCGGCCUGAGAGGGUGUCCGGCCACACUGGGACUGAGAUACGGCCCAGACUCCUACGGGAGGCAGCAGUCGAGAAGCUUCCGCAAUGGGCGAAAGCCUGACGGAGCGACGCCGCGUGAGUGAAGAAGGCCCUAUGGGUUGUAAAACUCUGUCAGAUUGGGAAGAAAGCACGACGGUUAAUACCCGACGUGUGUGACGGUACCAUCAGAGGAAGCACCGGCUAACUCCGUGCCAGCAGCCGCGGUAAUACGGAGGGUGCAAGCGUUGUUCGGAUUCACUGGGUAUAAAGGGUGCGCAGGCGGCCCGAUAAGUCAGGGGUGAAAUAUGACGGCUCAACCGUCAAACUGCCCCUGA